UGAAGAAGUAGCAAAAGGAACAUCUACAAACUACAAGUCUAAAUCUGGAGGUGCAAAGAAGAAAUGAUUGGAAAGCAAUAUCAGCACUCAAAACAUUGGAACCUGUCGACUGAGCAGGGUUAGAAGAGAAUGUAAUUUUUUGUUUCCUUGAGGGGUGGCCUAUCAAUGAAGUUGCAUGGGUCAUAGAAAGAUAAACUUCGCCAUGUUGCUCGAGCCUUAUACGAGGCUAUCACCAUCCUCUAGGUGAGCUAGCAGUGGCUUGAGGAUCUGGAUCUCAACCUUAUGUCUCGGGACAUGGAUCUUUGCAUCAACGUCUUCAGCCAUCGAGAAGCAUAGGAAGAAGGUUGCAAUGUACCUUGCUUUGUAAA
This is a long non-coding RNA of Musa acuminata subsp. malaccensis (wild Malaysian banana), 368 nucleotides long. RefSeq lists it as uncharacterized. Lineage: Eukaryota; Viridiplantae; Streptophyta; Magnoliopsida; Zingiberales; Musaceae. The record is from RefSeq and is a predicted model, not a curated record.